Molecule: transfer RNA, 69 nt
Filed under: Marmota monax (woodchuck)
Lineage: Eukaryota; Metazoa; Chordata; Mammalia; Rodentia; Sciuridae
Rfam family: tRNA
About the family: Transfer RNA (tRNA) molecules are approximately 80 nucleotides in length. Their secondary structure includes four short double-helical elements and three loops (D, anti-codon, and T loops). Further hydrogen bonds mediate the characteristic L-shaped molecular structure. tRNAs have two regions of fundamental functional importance: the anti-codon, which is responsible for specific mRNA codon recognition, and the 3' end, to which the tRNAs corresponding amino acid is attached (by aminoacyl-tRNA synthetases). tRNAs cope with the degeneracy of the genetic code in two manners: having more than one tRNA (with a specific anti-codon) for a particular amino acid; and 'wobble' base-pairing, i.e. permitting non-standard base-pairing at the 3rd anti-codon position.
Source: Rfam by way of RNAcentral
GGAGUUGUGGCUCAGUGGCAGAGCGCUUGCCUCACACACAUGAAGCACUGGGUUUGAUCCUCAGCACCA